GACAGAUGGCACGUGUGCGUGCGUAAGGCUCUGGAACAGCACUGCUGGUGUGAGGAAAGUGAAGAAAGCCAAACUGAGCUCAUGCUGAUGCUCAGAAAAGGAUCUUUGACACGGGAAAGAAGAACUCCUUGUGCCCUGAUGAGAAGGAGAAGGAUUGCAUGUCUGUUUCCCUUGUGGCUUUUCUUCAUCUGCUGACUAAAUCCUCCGGUAUUUGUGUGCUCAGAGCUUCAGGCAGGGCACUUGAGCACAACGUGCCCGCUUUGGGGAGCGGGAGGAGCAGCGUGCUGCUAACAAGCCUCCUUGAGGUGGAGAGCCCGGGAAGAAGCAGAGCCGCGCGUCUGCCUUUGCUUGUGCAGCUGGAGACCAAGUACCUGGAUGUGUGGUCGUCCUGGGAUUUAGUGAAGGAUGUGGAAAACAAGUGCAUUGGCUCUAUUGGCUCUCACUUCCUGUGGGUAGCCUGAAAAUGGAGCAAGUCGGAAAGAAAUGCAGCUUUUUGGAUCAUUAAAAAUCCAUUUUCAUUAAAAGCGAAGUAUUGCAGUGACAUACUUAUUUAUACAUUCAUUCCCUGUCUGUCUAUGCCUUAUGGGCAGAGUGAGAAGAGAGCCUUUUCAUAACAGUUUUAAAGCCUAAAUGAAAGAAAAGCAUUCUAUUUACCUUGAACUACUUGCAUGGCAUACUUCCACCCCCCCGUAUUGGAUGGCAAUUACUCUGCAUUCUUUCUUUACCACCAGUUUCUUUUGUCCUAUGUAUCAUUUGUUUUUUAUCUAUAUCUUCCACCUAUCUAUCUAUUUCCUCUUUGUGCUUAGAGUUGGUUGCAAAUUAUAUUUGUGAUGCACGGAGCUUUCAAUCUGACUGUCUUGAUAUUAUUUUAUGCAACCGUGACUACCGUAAAAAUUGGCUUUACUGCCUCUUUUGUGUUAUUGAUUCAAGCCCAUUUCAGAAUUAACUUGUUUGGAAUGAUCUGGCAAUGUUAUAUGCCCCAGGUUCUCUCAGUAAAAAUUCAUAUCUCAUAACUAAAUGCAAUAAAAUGUUCAAAUAUAUCUAAACA
RNAcentral lists this long non-coding RNA (1048 nucleotides) under Anas platyrhynchos platyrhynchos (common mallard). RNAcentral's name for it is "lncRNA (ENSAPLG00000021098.1)". The record is from RNAcentral. Lineage: Eukaryota; Metazoa; Chordata; Aves; Anseriformes; Anatidae.